AUUAAAGUUGUUGCAGUUAAAAAGCUCGUAGUUGGACUUGUGUGCGCUGUCCGCGGGUGGCCUGCGCCCAAAAGGGCGUUUCGGUUCGGCCCCGGUGGCGCCUUGAAAUCUGCAGCUGGGGGGACGUUGGCCUUAACUGGUCGGCGACCGCACGCCGGCUGCUCGGUUACUGUGAGAAAAUUAGAGUGUUCAAGGCAGGCAUUGGGUGCAAUUGAAUACAUUAGCAUGGAAUAAUAAAAUAUGGCUCCUGCCGUAUUUUGUUGGUUUUGACUGGUGGGAGUAAUGAUUGAUAGGGACGGUUGGGGGUGCUAGUAUUGAGCGGCCAGAGGUGAAAUUCAUGGAUUCGCUCAAGACUAACUUAUGCGAAAGCAUUCACCAAGGACGUCCUCUUUAAUCAAGAACGAAAGUUGGGGGAUCGAAGACGAUCAGAUACCGUCGUAGUCUCAACCAUAAACUAUGUCAACUUGGGAUCGGCGGUAGUUUUUUCAUUAAGACACUGUCGGGACCACGGGAGAAAUCAAAGUGUCUGGACUCUGGGGGAAGUAUGGUCGCAAGGCUGAAACUUGAAGGAAUUGACGGAAGGGCACCACCAGGAGUGGAGCCUGCGGCUUAAUUUGACUCAACACGGGGAAACUUACCAGGUCCAGAGAUGUAGAGGAUUGACAGAUUGAAGCUCUUUCUUGAUCACUUCGGUGGUGGUGCAUGGCCGUUCUUAGUUGGUGGAGUGAUUUGUCUGGUUAAUUCCGUUAACGAACGAGACCUCAGCCUGCUAGUGUAGUCGGCUGGAUUGCCUUUGGCGAUCCGUGAUUUCGACUUCUUAGAGGGACAAUCGACGCGCAGUCGAUGGAAGUUUGAGGCAAUAACAGGUCUGUGAUGCCCUUAGAUUUCUGGGCCGCACGCGCGCUACACUGCUGGGCUCAGCGAGUUUUACUUGGCCGAGAGGCCCGGUUAAUCUUGUGAAAUCCCAGCGUGCUUGGGCUCGCCUCCUGCAACUGGAGGCGCCAACGAGGAAUUCCUAGUAGACGCAGGUCAUCAACCUGCAUCGAUUACGUCCCUGCCCUUUGUACACACCGCCCGUCGUUCCAUAAGAGUGAGGCAUCCGGUGAAUUCUCGGGAGAGCCUGGGCGUGGCCAGCAAUGGUCUGCUCGGGUUUGAACUUGCAUAAACUUGGUGCCUAUGAUUAGGG
Molecule: ribosomal RNA, 1186 nt
Filed under: metagenome
Description: SSU rRNA
Rfam family: Eukaryotic small subunit ribosomal RNA
Source: RNAcentral